Molecule: long non-coding RNA, 397 nt
Organism: Ailuropoda melanoleuca (giant panda)
Lineage: Eukaryota; Metazoa; Chordata; Mammalia; Carnivora; Ursidae
Exons: 3
Source: RefSeq, a predicted model, not a curated record
GGCAGGAAGAAAAAGCAAAAGAGAGAGCUCAGUCUGGGACGAUAGGUUGUAUUAGGCAAGGCACUGAAUGCCUGCCAGAGAGUUAAGACUCCCUAGCAGGUAGUGGGGCCUGUAGCCUAUUUUUAAUGAACAGAGGGAGAAAACAUGGAUUUUUGAAAGAUCUUUCUGACAACACAUGGAAAAUGGAUUGGAAGGCUGUUUGAACCUGAUCUCAUUGCCCGCCACUCUCCCUGGAUCCGGGUCCGUCCAAACCGGCCUCCGCUGGUGCACCUGGGACUUGAGCGAGCUCCAGCUCGAGUGACGCCUGGAUUGAAGUCAUCUUUUUGUGAGAAAUCUCCGUAUGAAGAGUGUUUCUCCACCGAGGGAGAUUUUGCCCCCCAGGGCAAAAUUACAUUUG